This 468-nucleotide ribosomal RNA is filed under the name uncultured bacterium. RNAcentral describes it as "partial 16S ribosomal RNA". It matches the Rfam family "Bacterial small subunit ribosomal RNA", at positions 28 to 507 of the family's 1533-position model. The record is from RNAcentral.
GACGAACGCUGGCGGCGUGCUUAACACAUGCAAGUCGAACGGAAAGGCCCUGCUUUUGUGGGGUGCUCGAGUGGCGAACGGGUGAGUAACACGUGAGUAACCUGCCCUUGACUUUGGGAUAACUUCAGGAAACUGGGGCUAAUACCGGAUAGGAGCUCCUGCUGCAUGGUGGGGGUUGGAAAGUUUCGGCGGUUGGGGAUGGACGGGCGGCUUAUCAGCUUGUUGGUGGGGUAGUGGCUUACCAAGGCUUUGACGGGUAGCCGGCCUGGGAGGGUGACCGGCCACAUUGGGACUGAGAUACGGCCCAGACUGCUACGGGAGGCAGCAGUGGGGAAUAUUGCACAAUGGGCCGAAGCCUGAUGCAGCAACGCCGCGUGCGGGAUGACGGCCUUCGGGUUGUAAACCGCUUUCGCCUGUGACGAAGCGUGAGUGACGGUAAUGGGUAAAGAAGCACCGGCUAACUACGUG